RNAcentral lists this ribosomal RNA (1130 nucleotides) under Enterococcus faecium. RNAcentral describes it as "bacterial SSU rRNA". It matches the Rfam family "Bacterial small subunit ribosomal RNA", at positions 23 to 1123 of the family's 1533-position model. The record is from RNAcentral. Lineage: Bacteria; Bacillati; Bacillota; Bacilli; Lactobacillales; Enterococcaceae.
GUCAGGACGAACGCUGGCGGCGUGCCUAAUACAUGCAAGUCGAACGCUUCUUUUUCCACCGGAGCUUGCUCCACCGGAAAAAGAAGAGUGGCGAACGGGUGAGUAACACGUGGGUAACCUGCCCAUCAGAAGGGGAUAACACUUGGAAACAGGUGCUAAUACCGUAUAACAAUCGAAACCGCAUGGUUUUGAUUUGAAAGGCGCUUUCGGGUGUCGCUGAUGGAUGGACCCGCGGUGCAUUAGCUAGUUGGUGAGGUAACGGCUCACCAAGGCCACGAUGCAUAGCCGACCUGAGAGGGUGAUCGGCCACAUUGGGACUGAGACACGGCCCAAACUCCUACGGGAGGCAGCAGUAGGGAAUCUUCGGCAAUGGACGAAAGUCUGACCGAGCAACGCCGCGUGAGUGAAGAAGGUUUUCGGAUCGUAAAACUCUGUUGUUAGAGAAGAACAAGGAUGAGAGUAACUGUUCAUCCCUUGACGGUAUCUAACCAGAAAGCCACGGCUAACUACGUGCCAGCAGCCGCGGUAAUACGUAGGUGGCAAGCGUUGUCCGGAUUUAUUGGGCGUAAAGCGAGCGCAGGCGGUUUCUUAAGUCUGAUGUGAAAGCCCCCGGCUCAACCGGGGAGGGUCAUUGGAAACUGGGAGACUUGAGUGCAGAAGAGGAGAGUGGAAUUCCAUGUGUAGCGGUGAAAUGCGUAGAUAUAUGGAGGAACACCAGUGGCGAAGGCGGCUCUCUGGUCUGUAACUGACGCUGAGGCUCGAAAGCGUGGGGAGCAAACAGGAUUAGAUACCCUGGUAGUCCACGCCGUAAACGAUGAGUGCUAAGUGUUGGAGGGUUUCCGCCCUUCAGUGCUGCAGCUAACGCAUUAAGCACUCCGCCUGGGGAGUACGACCGCAAGGUUGAAACUCAAAGGAAUUGACGGGGGCCCGCACAAGCGGUGGAGCAUGUGGUUUAAUUCGAAGCAACGCGAAGAACCUUACCAGGUCUUGACAUCCUUUGACCACUCUAGAGAUAGAGCUUCCCCUUCGGGGGCAAAGUGACAGGUGGUGCAUGGUUGUCGUCAGCUCGUGUCGUGAGAUGUUGGGUUAAGUCCCGCAACGAGCGCAACCCUUAUUGUUAGUUGCCAUCA